GGGACAGCGAUGUCCUCAGCUGUCCACAUGAGGUUCAGAGCCCAGCUCACAGUGAUGUCCACAGUGAUGUUUCCAGUGAUGUCUGCGUUUCAUCCCCAGUGAUGUCUACAGUGACAUCCACAGGGAUGCCAGCUUGUCCAUAGUAAUAGUGGACAGUGGUGGCACUCUGGAUAAGAAGAAAAAGCAUGGACACAGAACAUGUCUGGGGGCAUGAGGAUCUUGGCAGUGGGCAGCAUUCAAUUCACCGGACCCAGUGGGAUAAACUUAGAACACAUCGGCACUCAGUGGUCGACGGUCACUGUUUCUGAUCAUCAGUUUCCUACUGUGGACUCAGCUCCAGCAGGACUAGGUGAAGACAGACAUUGGCAGGGAAACUCUGAGAGGGCUCAGUGGGUUGCAGGUGAGACCAAGCGUCAUCAGCCCUGAAGAGCUCCAGAGUGGCAGAGCAGCAAAGAGCCAAGAGCUUCGGUGACCUGCAAGGAUCUGAAGAGACAGUGGAAGAGCUCCAGAGAGGCUGUGGAAGUUGCUGGAAGAGCUCCUGAAAGCUGCCAAGGGGUCUCUGAGCCCUGACUGCAAGGAUCUGAUGGGGUGGCUAAGAUGCUGAAGGAGAGGUAAUACCAAGAGCUCAGAGGCACUGGUACUCAAAGCUCACAGCUGUACUUACUAAGGCAGCUGUAUUUGCUAAGUUCUAUUUUUUUUUUUUUUUUUGAGACACAAUUUUACUAUGCAGUUCAGGCUGAGCUUGAACUUACUUUGUAGCCCAGGCUGGCCUCAGACUUGCAGCAAUCCUCCUGCCUCAGUCUCCAGAGUGUUGGGACUAUGGGCGUGUGCUGCCGUGCCUGGUUUAAAUUCUGAUUUUUAUCUAAAUUGAGAAAAAGAACCUUCAGCCAGUUAGCAACAAGGACCGAGCCUUUCCUGGUGAUUCCCUCACCCUUCUCAGACCAUGGAUCACAGAACAGCCUCCCGUCAUCUGGCACCAUGUGUGACUCUGAGGAAGGGGCUGGUAGUCUGAGGGGAUCUCAAGAAGGAUGUGGGGGGCUAGGACCCCACUGCAGUACUUCCUGCAUUCUGCAUAGAGAUUACAGGGCACAGUCUCUGGAGCAUGGCCUGUGUUUCCUGUGGUGUUUUCACAUUUCAUU
Molecule: long non-coding RNA, 1139 nt
Filed under: Chinchilla lanigera (long-tailed chinchilla)
Lineage: Eukaryota; Metazoa; Chordata; Mammalia; Rodentia; Chinchillidae
Description: lncRNA (ENSCLAG00000028148.1)
Source: RNAcentral